AAAUUGAAGAGUUUGAUCAUGGCUCAGAUUGAACGCUGGCGGCAGGCCUAACACAUGCAAGUCGAACGGUAACAGGAAACAGCUUGCUGUUUCGCUGACGAGUGGCGGACGGGUGAGUAAUGUCUGGGAAACUGCCCGAUGGAGGGGGAUAACUACUGGAAACGGUAGCUAAUACCGCAUAACGUCGCAAGACCAAAGAGGGGGACCUUCGGGCCUCUUGCUAUCGGAUGUGCCCAGAUGGGAUUAGCUAGUAGGUGGGGUAACGGCUCACCUAGGCGACGAUCCCUAGCUGGUCUGAGAGGAUG
This 305-nucleotide ribosomal RNA is filed under the name Escherichia coli. RNAcentral describes it as "partial 16S ribosomal RNA". It matches the Rfam family "Bacterial small subunit ribosomal RNA", at positions 1 to 302 of the family's 1533-position model. Lineage: Bacteria; Pseudomonadati; Pseudomonadota; Gammaproteobacteria; Enterobacterales; Enterobacteriaceae. The record is from RNAcentral. RNAcentral also lists the same sequence under 1 other name.